CAGGUCUGGAGAAGGGAAGAUUGUGGAGCGUUUCUCUCGGGAUCUCAUGUGCGAGAACUGCGCAGCCGGGACGGGGACUUCGCGUGGCCUGGAGCUUUGCUGAGAGCUGCGUUCUUGUGGCGGGGUCGGAAGUGCUGAAUCUUCACCGUCCUCUACAUUGUCCCCAAAACUACCAAAAAUGAACAUAUCUAAGACAUCAGUGUCAUUCAGGGACGUGACUGUGGAGUUUACCCUGGAGGAGUGGCAGUGUAUGAGCUCUGCUCAGAAGACCCUGUACAGAGAUGUGAUGCUGGAGAACUACAGCCUCCUUGUCUCAUCAGGCCUCCCUAUUCCCUGAGACACAAUAAUAUUGAAAUUAGGUCAAUUAAUAACCCUACAGUGGCCUGUAAGUGUUCAAGUGAAAGGAGGAGUUGCAUGUCUCUUACUUAAAAUUAAAAGCUAGAAAUUAUUGGUGAAGAAGGCAGCUUGAAAGCCGAGAUCAGCUGAAAGCUAGGCCCCUUGCACCAAACUGUCAGCUAAGUUGUGAAUGCAAUGGAAAAGUUCUUGAAGGAAAAUAAAAGUGCUAACUCCAGUGAACACAUGAAUGAUAAGAAAGUGAAACAGCUCAAUUGCUGAUAUGGAGAACAUUUUAGUGUCCUGGAUAAAAGGUCAAACCAGCCACAACAUUCCCUUAAGCCAAAUACUAAUCCAGGGCACAGCCCUAACUCUUCAAUUCUGUGAAGGCUGAGGAAGGCGAGGAAGCUGCAGAAGAAGAGGUUGAAUCUAGUAUAGUUUGGUUCAUGGGGGUUAAGGAAGGAAGCUGUCUCUCUUAAGAUGAAUGUUCAAGGGGUAUCACCAAGUGCUGAUGGAAAAGAUGCAGCAAGUUAUCCAGAAGUUCUAGUUAAGAUGAUUAAUGAAAGUGGCUACACUACACAACAGAGUUUCAAUGUAGAUGAAAUACUUUUCCAUUGGAAGAAGAUGCCAUCUAGGACUUUCAAAGGUAGAGAGAAGAAGUCAAUGCCUAGCUUCAAAGCCCAGACUGACUCUCUUGUUAGGGGUUAGUACAGCUGGUGACUUUAAGUUGAAGCCAAUGCUCAUUUACCAUUCUGGAAAUUCUAGGGCCUUUAGAAAUUAUGCUGAAUCUCUUUUGCCUGUGCUCUGUAAGUGGAACAGCAAAGCCUGGAUGACAGCACAUCUGUUGACAAAAUACUUUACUGAGUAUCUAACCUGUUGUUAGACCUGCUGCUCAGAAAAAAGAUUCCUUUCAAAACAUGCUCAUUGAUUAUGCACCUGGUCACUCAAGAGCUCUGAUGGAGAUGUACAAUGUGAUUAGUAUACUUAUGCUUGCUAACACAACAUCCAUUCUGCAGCCCAUGUAUUGAGUUGUUUUGACUUUCAAGUCUUAUUAUUUAAAAAAUAUAUUUUGUAAACAUAGCUGCCAUAGAUAGUGAUUCCUCUAUAGAUCUGGGCAAAGUCAAUUGAGAACAUUCUGGAAAGGACUGACCAUUCUAGAUGCCAUUAAGAACAUUUUUGAUACAUGGGAAAAGGUCACAAUAUCCACCGGAACAGGAGUUUGGAAGAAGUUGAUUCCAACCCUUAUGGAUGACUUUGACAGUUUCAAAUUUUCAGUGGAGGAAGUAACUGCAGAUGUGGUGGCAGAAACAAUUAGAAUUAGAAGUAAAAUCUGAAGAUAUGUUUGAAUUGCUUCAAUCGCAUGAUAAAAAUUUAAUGGAUGAAGAGUUGCUUCUUGAAGAAGCAAAGAAAGUGGUUUCUUGUGAUGAAAUCUACUCCUGGUGAAACCACUGUCUGUAAAUUUAAGGGUUUAUUUCUGGCCUCUCAAUUCUCCAUUGUUCUCUGUUUUUAUUCUUAAUGUGUCUAUUCUUACACCAGUACUACCUUAAUAGUAUAGUAUGGUAUUGUGAUUUAUAAUAAGAAAGAUAUAUUUGGUCUUAAUCCCUGUUCCUGGCACAGAGUUCUAAAACCCUGGCAAUUUCUUAAGUGAUACGAGAGAUCGAGGUGUCUUACUCAUAGCAAGCCCCUUUCAACCAUGCCUGAGUUCAUGUUACUGAGGUGACUUUUGGAAACCCCCUGAGGAUAUAGGCUUGUUGCCAAGAAUGCCAAUCAAGUGACUAGAGGGUUGGGACUUUCAGGCCCGUCCCCUGACCUGCAGGGAGGGAGGGGGCAGGGCUGGAGAUUGACUUAAUUACUAAUAAUAAUUAUUCCUAUAUAAUCAAGUCUCCAUAAAAAUGUCUGAACUGUGGGGUUCAGAGAGCUUUGUUGUUGGUGAACACUUGUAGGUGGUGGGAGGCUGAUGCUCCUGGACAGGGCAUGGAAGCUUUGCCCUAUGCAGCUUUUUUGUCUGGCUGUUUCUGAGUUGUAUGCUUUGUAAUAAACCUGGCAAUCUAUUAAUAGUAAGCAAACUGUUGAGCUCUGUGAGCCAUUCUAGCAAAUUAAACCUGAGGACCAGGAUGUGGGAACCUCCCAUUUAUAGCUAGUUGGUCAGUAGCACAGGUAGUAACCUGGGCUUGUAAUUGGCAUCUGAAGUGUGAGGAGAGGCAGUCUUGUGGACUCAACCCCUAGCCUGUGAGAUCUGAUGCAGACUCCAAGUGGAUAUGUCAGAACUGAAUUGAAUGUAGAACACCUUGCUGGUGUUGCAGAGUUGCUUGGUAGUGGGAAAAACCUCUGCACACUCAGUGACCAGCAGUGAAGUAGUAUUGAGAAUACAUAAGUAUUCUGUGAGUAGAGACAAUAAUAUAAAUGAGAAACAGGAGUGUUUUCUGUAAACAGAGUAAUUGAAAAGUAUGAGCUCUCCAGUUUUUUUCUUUGUCAAUUUCUGUAAAAGAAAGCUGUGAUUUUGUUAGUGGUUCCAUUGAAUCUGUAGCUCAAUUUCUGGAGUAUUGCCAUCUUGACAACAUUAACUCUUCUGAUCCAUGAACAUUGAGAUUAUCUGUCUUUCUAUUUAUUUAGGACUUUUAAAAUUUAUUAUAAUGAUAUUCUGUAGAUUUAAGUGGUCAAAUUUUAUACUUUUGUUAAAGUUAUUUUAAGUAUUGUAUUCUUUUUGAUGCUCUUUUAAAUGAAAUUGUUUUUAUUUUUCAUUUUAGGCUUGUUCAUUGCUAGUGCACGGAAAUACAACUGGGUUUUGCAUAUUUCCUUGUAUUCUGCAACCUUGUUGAACCUGGUUAUUAGCUUUCGGAGCUUUAUGUAUUUUUGGAAUCCUCAGGGUUUUCUAUACUGAUUUGGUUUACCUUGCCCUUCCUUUCUUUGCUGUUUUAUGAUAAAAUUUAAGCUCAUGAAUUGAGACUUGGUUUUACUUUUUUAAUGUAAGCAUAAGACGCUAUAUUUUUCUUUGAAAACUGCUUUAGCUGCAUCACACAAGUUUUGAUGUUAUGUUUUUAUUUUCAUUUAAUCCAAGAUAUUUCUUUAAAUGCCUGGUAAUUUCCUGUUUGAUCCAUUGGUUUUGUAGAAUUUGUUUACUUUCUAAAUAUUUGUUUCAUAAUUUCUUACUGUUACAAUUUUUAUAUCCUUUUUUGUGUGUUACUCUGGAUAUUAUUUCAUGCAUGAUUCAGUCUUAUUAAAUGUAUUGAAAUUUGUCUUAGGGCCUAACAUAUGAUCCUGGGGAAUGUUCCAUAUGUGACUGAAAAUGGUAUUUUUUCUAGAUAGGGAUUAGUUCCAGUGGGCUGAUUGUAUUGCUUGAAGCUUCUGUAUCCUUUUAAUAUCUUAUCUACUUGUUCUAUUAAAUAUUGAGAAAGGAAUGUGAGUAUCCAAGUCUAACUUAUUUAUAUCUUCUUUCCUUUUUAAUAGGAUUUGCUUCGUGUAUUUUGAAACUCUGUUUUUAAGUAGUAAACCACUUAGGCUUAUUACAUCCUCUUGGUGGAUUUUCUCUUUUAGCGUUUUGAAGUUUUUAUUGAUAUCCCUGGUAAUAUUUCUUUCUCUGAAUUUUGUUUGGUACUGUAUAGUCAGUCAGACUUUCAUUUGCUUCUUGUGUGCUUCGUAUGAUAUAUACUUUUCU
RNA transcript from Globicephala melas (long-finned pilot whale), 3988 nucleotides. It is a transcript of the gene named zinc finger protein 420-like, with no coding region annotated. The record is from RefSeq and is a predicted model, not a curated record. NCBI's taxonomy places the organism in Eukaryota, Metazoa, Chordata, Mammalia, Artiodactyla, Delphinidae.